AUGCUUGAUGAAUACAAAACGCCUCGUCGUUUCUGGAUUGAUUCAAUUGAUACUGCAUGCCACAUCAUCAACAGAGUAUAUCUUCACAAAUUCUUCAAGAAGACUGCCUAUGAACUCCUCACUGACAAGAAACCCAAUGUGAGUUAUUUCAAAGUCUUCGAUGCUAAAUGCUGGAUUAGAGAUCCUCAUCACAACUCUAAAUUUGCACCGAAAGCCCAUGAAGGUUUUAUGCUUGGUUACGGAAAGGACUCGCACACCUACAGAGUCUUCAACAACGUUCUUCACAAGGUUGUUGAAACUGUAGAUGUGUGA
RNAcentral lists this ribosomal RNA (312 nucleotides) under Triticum aestivum (bread wheat). Its description in RNAcentral is "partial small subunit ribosomal RNA". The record is from RNAcentral. Lineage: Eukaryota; Viridiplantae; Streptophyta; Magnoliopsida; Poales; Poaceae.